AAAAAGACAAACCCUGGUUUCCGUGUCCAACGUUUGACUGUCCGUCUUAUAUGAAAUUUUUUUAUAAUUAGUAUUUUCAUUAUUGUUAGAUGAUAAAACAUGAUUAAUAAUUUAUGUGUGACUUAUCUUUUUAAUUUUUUUUAUAAUUUUUUUAAAUAAGACGAACAGUCAAACGUUGAACACGAAAACUC
RNAcentral lists this microRNA precursor (191 nucleotides) under Oryza sativa Japonica Group (Japanese rice). RNAcentral describes it as "MIR812 microRNA precursor family". It matches the Rfam family "MIR812 microRNA precursor family". The record is from Rfam by way of RNAcentral. Lineage: Eukaryota; Viridiplantae; Streptophyta; Magnoliopsida; Poales; Poaceae.